Molecule: ribosomal RNA, 330 nt
Filed under: uncultured Clostridiaceae bacterium
Lineage: Bacteria; Bacillati; Bacillota; Clostridia; Eubacteriales; Clostridiaceae
Description: bacterial SSU rRNA
Rfam family: Bacterial small subunit ribosomal RNA
Source: RNAcentral
GAUGAACGCUGGCGGCGUGCCUAAUACAUGCAAGUCGAGCGAGAAGCUACUUUGAAGCGUUUUCGGACAAUUCUGUGUAGUGGAAAGCGGCGGACGGGUGAGUAACGCGUAGGCAACCUGCCCUUAGCAGAGGGAUAGCCAUUGGAAACGAUGAUUAAAACCUCAUAAUGCUGUUGAGACACAUGUUUUAACAGCCAAAGAUUUAUCGGCUAAGGAUGGGCCUGCGUCUGAUUAACUAGUUGGCGGGGUAACGGCCCACCAAGGUAACGAUCAGUAGCCGACCUGAGAGGGUGAUCGGCCACAUUGGAACUGAGACACGGUCCAAACUUC